Molecule: long non-coding RNA, 596 nt
Filed under: Taeniopygia guttata (zebra finch)
Lineage: Eukaryota; Metazoa; Chordata; Aves; Passeriformes; Estrildidae
Description: lncRNA (ENSTGUG00000021885.1)
Source: RNAcentral
AGAUAUAUUUGUUCAACUCAGAGACACCAUCUCAUUUUCAAUGUAAGAUUUGAAACCAGUCUGACAAACAAGUCACCCUAGAUACUGCUGCCUGAGCCUUGGCCACAGGAAUGUCAGCCUGAUUCACACUGCCUUCAGCCCUCUGAGCGUUUCCUGGUUCAGAGAGACCAAGCAGCCACGUUCUGGCAGUUUCAAUGGGAAGUGUCAGCCUGUUUCCAGUGCUUUCAAAAGACAUUCCAUCAUUUCAUGAAUCACAUCAUUGUGUGGAACCUCUGAGAUAAUAAGACUCCGAACAUCAUCUCACAACACCAUUUGGAUCAAAGACAGGGAAGCAUAUGUGCAUUCUUUUCUACACAGAUUUUGCAGGGGAAGUCAGGAAAAUCCUGCUGGCUGUAAGACUUUUCUUAGCUUCAUUUGCAAAAGGCUGCAUGCCACUAGCAGAGGACAAGAUGGAACUGAUCCUGGAGGAAAUUACAGUAGAUUUCUGCCAUCCAGAGCAAGGAUGACUCAGGGCAUUGGCACAGUGGAACUGGGAAACACAUCUUUGUAGGGACUGGAAUUAUACAGCUAAGUCAAAACCAAGAUAUAGAUAUCGC